AACGCGAAGAACCUUACCUGGGUUUGACAUGCACAGGACGCAUCCAGAGAUGGGUGUUCCCUUGUGGCCUGUGUGCAGGUGGUGCAUGGCUGUCGUCAGCUCGUGUCGUGAGAUGUUGGGUUAAGUCCCGCAACGAGCGCAACCCUUGUCUCAUGUUGCCAGCACGUGAUGGUGGGGACUCGUGAGAGACUGCCGGGGUCAACUCGGAGGAAGGUGGGGAUGACGUCAAGUCAUCAUGCCCCUUAUGUCCAGGGCUUCACACAUGCUACAAUGGCCGGUACAAAGGGCUGCGAUGCCGUGAGGCUUAGCGAAUCCUUUUAAAGCCGGUCUCAGUUCGGAUCGGGGUCUGCAACUCGACCCCGUGAAGUCGGAGUCGCUAGUAAUCGCAGAUCAGCAACGCUGCGGUGAAUACGUUCCCGGGCCUUGUACACACCGCUACAGU
This 442-nucleotide ribosomal RNA is filed under the name uncultured bacterium. RNAcentral describes it as "bacterial SSU rRNA". It matches the Rfam family "Bacterial small subunit ribosomal RNA", at positions 958 to 1401 of the family's 1533-position model. The record is from RNAcentral.